This is a long non-coding RNA of Sitodiplosis mosellana (orange wheat blossom midge), 1209 nucleotides long. RefSeq lists it as uncharacterized. Lineage: Eukaryota; Metazoa; Arthropoda; Insecta; Diptera; Cecidomyiidae. The record is from RefSeq and is a predicted model, not a curated record. The transcript has 3 exons.
CUGUGUGAUAGAAGUUGUCAUUAAAAGACAGGUGAAUUGUAGUCGAUGGUUGAUUAAAGACUGACGAUUUUAUUCAUGCACUUAAAGACUAUAUACAAUAAAUUGCUUAGCUGACUUAUUUAAAUUCUCCGAAUUCUAUUCAGGUUAUUGUUGCACUUAUAACUAAAUAAUAAUUAUUUCUUGCUUAUGAUUCAUUAUUUCGUGCGAUUUCAUUAUUGUUCGAUUCCAGUUAAUUCAAAAUUAUGUCAAUAGACAAAAUGAGACUUUGUCACUAACCGUUGGACAGUUAGCGUUACCGUUGAUGAUGUCGUAGAAAAAACUCAAUGACGCGUUGACACGUCGACGGCGAAGACUAAUCAUGUUCAAGUCCGACAAUCGUUGCUCGUACGGUGUGAUUGAGUAUUGGUUAUGUACGGAUGGGUAUUCUCGACGAGCGUACAUAGUGAAUUGGCGUUGCACGGAUUCGAUUUUGUCACUGUGGAUUUUGUGGAAUGGAAGCCAUACCAUGGCGCAGUAAUCGAGGUGAGACUGAACCAAUGCAAAAUACAGCGACUUUAGUGUGGUAACGUCAGUGAUGUCAUGGCAAAAGCGCUUGACAAAGCCAAGUGCAGCCGUUGCCUUCGCAGUGACCAUGUCAAUGUGUUUGGCAAAUGAUAGUUUUCUGUCAAUUAGAACACCCAAGUCCUUGUGUUCAGUCACUUUGCCGAAGGUUUGGUCGCCAUAGGUGUAGCUUGUUUCCAAAUGCUGACGUUUCUUGUAGAUAGAUAGCACUGCACAUUUUUCGAGGUUAAGGUGCAGCAAAUUCACAUCACAUGCUGACCAAGUGGAAAAAAUAUUGCGAAUGUUUCAACAAUGUUUGGUAGUUUGGAGAUGGCCAGUCUUAAGCGACCCGGAUGAUGAUGAACACGCUUGGUUCUUGGGUAUUGCUGCAGAAUUGAGCAUUGAAAACGGAAGACUGAGAAUUGGAGUAAUGACGGACGAUGGUGCAUUAUUACCGGCGACAAUAGAUGAGGUCGAAAACAAUUUCAUGAAAUGUCCGUUCUGCACAGAUGAAGAUGACUACUUUCCAAUAAUACCUGCAGAGCUUGCAUAUCACAUGAACGAGCGACAUCCCGAUUUAGAUUUCUCUUCUUACGAAUAAUUUGAGAUUUUUCGAAACUUUUCCCUGAAAAUUUACACGGUUGAAAAUUGAAUUUUAUUUGAAUUGAA